Long non-coding RNA from Bombina bombina (fire-bellied toad), 7709 nucleotides. RefSeq lists it as uncharacterized. The transcript is spliced from 3 exons. The record is from RefSeq and is a predicted model, not a curated record. NCBI's taxonomy places the organism in Eukaryota, Metazoa, Chordata, Amphibia, Anura, Bombinatoridae.
UAAUGAUAAUGUGCAGACACAGGCUGUGCAAGUGAUGAUACACAGAUAAUGAUAAUGUGCAGACACAGGCUGUGCAAGUGAUGAUACACAGAUAAUGAUAAUGUGCAGGUACAGGCUGUGCACUUGAUGAUACACAGAUAAUAAUAAUGUGUAGACACAGGCUGUUCUAGUGAUGAUACACAGAUAAUGAUAUUGUGUAGACACAGGCUAUGCUAGUGAUGAUACACAAAUAAUGAUAAUGUGCAGGCACAGAUAUUAAUAAUGUGCAGACACAGGUUGUGCACGUGAGGAUACACAGAUAAUGAUAAUGUACAGGCUGUGCAAGUGAUGAUACACAGAUAAUGAUAAUGGGCAGACACAGGCUGUGCACGUGAUGAUACACAGAUAAUGAUAAUGUGCAGAAACAGGCUGUGCAAGUGAUGAUACACAGAUAAUGAUAAUGUGCAGACACAGGUUGUGCACGUGAUGGUACCCAGAUAAUGAUAAUGUGCAGGCACAGGCUGUGCAAGUGACAAUACCCAGAUAAGGAUAAUGUACAGGCUGUGCAAGUGAUGAUACACAGAUAAUGAUAAAGUGCAGACACAGGCUGUGCAAGUGAUGAUACACAGAUGAUGAUAAUGUGAAGGCACAAGUUUUGCUUGUGAUGGUACCCAGAUAAUGAUAAUGUGCAGGUACAGGUUGUGGACGUGAGGAUAACUAGAUAAUUACAUGCACAGACACAGGCUGUGCACGUGACGAUACCUAGAUAAUGAUAAUGUGCAGACACAGGCUGUGCAAGUGAUGAUAAAAAAAUAAUGAUAACUAGAUAAUUACAUGCACAGACACAGGCUGUGCACGUGACGAUACACAGAUAAUGAUAAUGUGAAGGCACAGACUGCAUUUGACGAUACACAGAUAAUGAUAAUGUGCAGACACAGGCUGUGCACGUGACGAUACCCAGAUAAUGAUAAUGUGCAGACACAGGCUGUGCAAGUAAUGAUACAUAGAUAAUGAUAAUGUGCAGGCAGAGGCUGUGCAAGUGAUGAUACACAGAUAAUGAUAAUGUUCAGACACAGGCUUUGCACGUGAGGAUACCCAGAUAAUGAUAAUGUGCAGAAACGGGCUGCGCAAGUGAUGAUGCACAGAUAAUAAUAAUGUGCAGACACAGGUUGUGCAAGUGAUGAUACACAGAUAAUGAAAAUGUGCAGGCAGAGGCUGUGCAAGUGAUGAUACACAUAUAAUAAUAAUGUGCAGACACAGGCUGUGCUAGUGAUGAUACACAGAUAAUAAUAAUGUGCAGACACAGGCUGUGCAAGUGAUGAUACACAUAUAAUAAUAAUGUGCAGACACAGGCUGUGCUAGUGAUGAUACACAGAUAAUAAUAAUGUGCAGACACAGGCUGUGCAAGUGAUGAUACACAGAUAAUGAUAAUGGGCAGAUACAGGCUGUGCACGUGAGGAUACACAGAUAGUGAUAAUAUGCGGAAACAGGCUGUGCAAGUGAUGAUGCACAGAUAAUAAUAAUGUGCAGACACAGGCUGUGCAAGUGAUGAUAGACAGAUAAUGAUAAUGUGCAGGCAGAGGCUGUGCAAGUGAUGAUACACAGAUAAUGAUAAUGUGCAGACACAGGCUGUGCUAGUGAUGAUACACAGAUAAUGAUAAUGUGCAGACACAGGCUGUGCAAGUGAUGAUACACAGAUAAUGAUAAUGUGCAGACACAGGCUGUGCAAGUGAUGAUACACAGAUAAUGAUAAUGUGCAGGUACAGGCUGUUCACUUGAUGAUACACAGAUAAUAAUAAUGUGUAGACACAGGCUGUUCUAGUGAUGAUACACAGAUAAUAAUAAUGUGCAGACACAGGCUAUGCUAGUGAUGAUACACAGAUAAUAAUAAUGUGCAGACACAGGCUGUGCAAGUGAUGAUACACAGAUAAUAAUAAUGUGCAGACACAGGCUGUGCUAGUGAUGAUACACAGAUAAUAAUAAUGUGCAGACACAGGCUGUGCAAGUGAUGAUACACAUAUAAUAAUAAUGUGCAGACACAGGCUGUGCUAGUGAUGAUACACAGAUAAUAAUAAUGUGCAGACACAGGCUGUGCAAGUGAUGAUACACAGAUAAUGAUAAUGGGCAGACACAGGCUGUGCACGUGAGGAUACACAGAUAGUGAUAAUAUGCGGAAACAGGCUGUGCAAGUGAUGAUGCACAGAUAAUAAUAAUGUGCAGACACAGGCUGUGCAAGUGAUGAUAGACAGAUAAUGAUAAUGUGCAGGCAGAGGCUGUGCAAGUGAUGAUACACAGAUAAUGAUAAUGUGCAGACACAGGCUGUGCUAGUGAUGAUACACAGAUAAUGAUAAUGUGCAGACACAGGCUGUGCAAGUGAUGAUACACAGAUAAUGAUAAUGUGCAGACACAGGCUGUGCUUGUGAUGGUACCCAGAUAAUGAUAAUGUGCAGGUACAGGUUGUGGACGUGAGGAUAACUAGAUAAUUACAUGCACAGACACAGGCUGUGCACGUGACGAUACCUAGAUAAUGAUAAUGUGCAGACACAGGCUGUGCACGUGACGAUACCUAGAUAAUGAUAAUGUGCAGACACAGGCUGUGCACGUGACGAUACCUAGAUAAUGAUAAUGUGCAGACACAGGCUGUGCAAGUGAUGAUAAAAAAAUAAUGAUAAUGUGCAGACACAGGCUGUGCAUGUGAGGAUAGCCAGAUAAUGAUAAUGUGCAGACACAGGCUGUGCAAGUGAUGAUACACAGAUAAUGAUAAUGUGCAGACACAGGUUGUGCAUGUGAGGAUAGCCAGAUAAUGAUAAUGUGCAGACACAGGCUGUGCAAGUGAUGAUACCCAGAUAAUGAUAAUGUGCAGGCACAGGUUGUGCUUGUAAGAAUAACCAGAUAAUGUGCAGGCACAGUUUGUGCUUGUGAUGGUACCCAGAUAAUGAUAAUGUGCAGGUACAGGUUGUGCACGUGAGGAUAACUAGAUAAUUACAUGCACAGACACAGGCUGUGCACGUGACGAUACACAGAUAAUGAUAAUGUGAAGGCACAGACUGUGCAUUUGACGAUACACAGAUAAUGAUAAUGUGCAGACACAGGCUGUGCACGUGACGAUACCCAGAUAAUGAUAAUGUGCAGACACAGGCUGUGCAAGUAAUGAUACAUAGAUAAUGAUAAUGUGCAGGCAGAGGCUGUGCAAGUGAUGAUACACAGAUAAUGAUAAUGUUCAGACACAGGCUUUGCACGUGACGAUACCCAGAUAAUGAUAAUGUGCAGAAACGGGCUGCGCAAGUGAUGAUGCACAGAUAAUAAUAAUGUGCAGACACAGGUUGUGCAAGUGAUGAUACACAGAUAAUGAAAAUGUGCAGGCAGAGGCUGUGCAAGUGAUGAUACACAUAUAAUAAUAAUGUGCAGACACAGGCUGUGCUAGUGAUGAUACACAGAUAAUAAUAAUGUGCAGACACAGGCUGUGCAAGUGAUGAUACACAUAUAAUAAUAAUGUGCAGACACAGGCUGUGCUAGUGAUGAUACACAGAUAAUAAUAAUGUGCAGACACAGGCUGUGCAAGUGAUGAUACACAGAUAAUGAUAAUGGGCAGAUACAGGCUGUGCACGUGAGGAUACACAGAUAGUGAUAAUGUGCGGAAACAGGCUGUGCAAGUGAUGAUGCACAGAUAAUAAUAAUGUGCAGACACAGGCUGUGCAAGUGAUGAUAGACAGAUAAUGAUAAUGUGCAGGCAGAGGCUGUGCAAGUGAUGAUACACAGAUAAUGAUAAUGUGCAGACACAGGCUGUGCUAGUGAUGAUACACAGAUAAUGAUAAUGUGCAGACACAGGCUGUGCAAGUGAUGAUACACAGAUAAUGAUAAUGUGCAGACACAGGCUGUGCAAGUGAUGAUACACAGAUAAUGAUAAUGUGCAGGUACAGGCUGUGCACUUGAUGAUACACAGAUAAUAAUAAUGUGUAGACACAGGCUGUUCUAGUGAUGAUACACAGAUAAUGAUAUUGUGUAGACACAGGCUAUGCUAGUGAUGAUACACAAAUAAUGAUAAUGUGCAGGCACAGAUAUUAAUAAUGUGCAGACACAGGUUGUGCACGUGAGGAUACACAGAUAAUGAUAAUGUACAGGCUGUGCAAGUGAUGAUACACAGAUAAUGAUAAUGGGCAGACACAGGCUGUGCACGUGAUGAUACACAGAUAAUGAUAAUGUGCAGAAACAGGCUGUGCAAGUGAUGAUACACAGAUAAUGAUAAUGUGCAGACACAGGUUGUGCACGUGAUGGUACCCAGAUAAUGAUAAUGUGCAGGCACAGGCUGUGCAAGUGACAAUACCCAGAUAAGGAUAAUGUACAGGCUGUGCAAGUGAUGAUACACAGAUAAUGAUAAAGUGCAGACACAGGCUGUGCAAGUGAUGAUACACAGAUGAUGAUAAUGUGAAGGCACAAGUUUUGCUUGUGAUGGUACCCAGAUAAUGAUAAUGUGCAGGUACAGGUUGUGGACGUGAGGAUAACUAGAUAAUUACAUGCACAGACACAGGCUGUGCACGUGACGAUACCUAGAUAAUGAUAAUGUGCAGACACAGGCUGUGCAAGUGAUGAUAAAAAAAUAAUGAUAACUAGAUAAUUACAUGCACAGACACAGGCUGUGCACGUGACGAUACACAGAUAAUGAUAAUGUGAAGGCACAGACUGCAUUUGACGAUACACAGAUAAUGAUAAUGUGCAGACACAGGCUGUGCACGUGACGAUACCCAGAUAAUGAUAAUGUGCAGACACAGGCUGUGCAAGUAAUGAUACAUAGAUAAUGAUAAUGUGCAGGCAGAGGCUGUGCAAGUGAUGAUACACAGAUAAUGAUAAUGUUCAGACACAGGCUUUGCACGUGAGGAUACCCAGAUAAUGAUAAUGUGCAGAAACGGGCUGCGCAAGUGAUGAUGCACAGAUAAUAAUAAUGUGCAGACACAGGUUGUGCAAGUGAUGAUACACAGAUAAUGAAAAUGUGCAGGCAGAGGCUGUGCAAGUGAUGAUACACAUAUAAUAAUAAUGUGCAGACACAGGCUGUGCUAGUGAUGAUACACAGAUAAUAAUAAUGUGCAGACACAGGCUGUGCAAGUGAUGAUACACAUAUAAUAAUAAUGUGCAGACACAGGCUGUGCUAGUGAUGAUACACAGAUAAUAAUAAUGUGCAGACACAGGCUGUGCAAGUGAUGAUACACAGAUAAUGAUAAUGGGCAGAUACAGGCUGUGCACGUGAGGAUACACAGAUAGUGAUAAUAUGCGGAAACAGGCUGUGCAAGUGAUGAUGCACAGAUAAUAAUAAUGUGCAGACACAGGCUGUGCAAGUGAUGAUAGACAGAUAAUGAUAAUGUGCAGGCAGAGGCUGUGCAAGUGAUGAUACACAGAUAAUGAUAAUGUGCAGACACAGGCUGUGCUAGUGAUGAUACACAGAUAAUGAUAAUGUGCAGACACAGGCUGUGCAAGUGAUGAUACACAGAUAAUGAUAAUGUGCAGACACAGGCUGUGCAAGUGAUGAUACACAGAUAAUGAUAAUGUGCAGGUACAGGCUGUUCACUUGAUGAUACACAGAUAAUAAUAAUGUGUAGACACAGGCUGUUCUAGUGAUGAUACACAGAUAAUAAUAAUGUGCAGACACAGGCUAUGCUAGUGAUGAUACACAGAUAAUAAUAAUGUGCAGACACAGGCUGUGCAAGUGAUGAUACACAGAUAAUAAUAAUGUGCAGACACAGGCUGUGCUAGUGAUGAUACACAGAUAAUAAUAAUGUGCAGACACAGGCUGUGCAAGUGAUGAUACACAUAUAAUAAUAAUGUGCAGACACAGGCUGUGCUAGUGAUGAUACACAGAUAAUAAUAAUGUGCAGACACAGGCUGUGCAAGUGAUGAUACACAGAUAAUGAUAAUGGGCAGACACAGGCUGUGCACGUGAGGAUACACAGAUAGUGAUAAUAUGCGGAAACAGGCUGUGCAAGUGAUGAUGCACAGAUAAUAAUAAUGUGCAGACACAGGCUGUGCAAGUGAUGAUAGACAGAUAAUGAUAAUGUGCAGGCAGAGGCUGUGCAAGUGAUGAUACACAGAUAAUAAUAAUGUGCAGACACAGGCUGUGCUAGUGAUGAUACACAGAUAAUAAUAAUGUGCAGACACAGGCUGUGCAAGUGAUGAUACACAGAUAAUGAUAAUGUGCAGACACAGGCUGUGCAAGUGAUGAUACACAGAUAAUGAUAAUGUGCAGGUACAGGCUGUGCACUUGAUGAUACACAGAUAAUAAUAAUGUGUAGACACAGGCUGUUCUAGUGAUGAUACACAGAUAAUGAUAUUGUGUAGACACAGGCUAUGCUAGUGAUGAUACACAAAUAAUGAUAAUGUGCAGGCACAGAUAUUAAUAAUGUGCAGACACAGGCUGUGCAAGUGAUGAUACACAGAUAAUGAUAAUGGGCAGACACAGGCUGUGCACGUGAUGAUACACAGAUAAUGAUAAUGUGCAGAAACAGGCUGUGCAAGUGAUGAUACACAGAUAAUGAUAAUGUGCUGACACAGGCUGUGCACUUGAUGAUACACAGAUAAUGAUAAUGUGCAGGUACAGGCUGUGCACUUGAUGAUACACAGAUAAUAAUAAUGUGCAGACACAGUCUGUGCUAGUGAUGAUACACAGAUAAUAAUAAUGUGCAGACACAGGCUGUGCUAGUGAUGAUACACAGAUAAUGAUAAUGUGUAGACACAGGCUGUGCUAGUGAUGAUACACAGAUAAUGAUAAUGUGUAGACACAGGCUGUGCUAGUGAUGAUACACAGAUAAUGAUAAUGUGCAGGCACAGACUGUGCAAGUGAUGAUACACAGAUAAUGAUAAUGUGCAGACACAGUCUGUGCUAGUGAUGAUACACAGAUAAUGAUAAUGUACAGGUACAGGCUGUGCUCGUGAUGAUACACAGAUAAUGAUAAUGUACAGGCUGUGCAAGUGAUGAUACACAGAUAAUGAUAAUAUGCAGGUACAGGCUGUGCAAGUGAUGAUACACAGAUAAUGAUAAUGAUAAUGUACAGGUACAGGCUGUGCAUGUGAUGAUACACAGAUAAUGAUAAUGUGCAGGUACAGGCUGUGCACGUGAUGAUACACAGAUAAUGAUAAUGUGCAGGUACAGGCUGUGCACCUGAUGAUACACAGAUAAUGAUAAUGUGCAGGUACAGGCUGUGCACGUGAGGAUACACAGAUAAUUAAAAUGUGCAGACACAGGCUGUGCACGUGAGGAUACACAGAUAAUGAUAAUGUGCAGGUACAGGCUGUGCACGUGAUGAUACACAGAUAAUGAUAAUGUGCAGGUACAGGCUGUGCACCUGAGGAUACACAGAUAAUGAUAAUGUGCAGGUACAGGCUGUGCACGUGAGGAUACACAGAUAAUGAUAAUGUGCAGGUACAGGCUGUGCACGUGAGGAUACACAGAUAAUGAUAAUGUGCAGACACAGGCUGUGCUAGUGACGAUACACAGAUAAUGAUAAUGUGCAGACACAGGCUGUGCACGUGAUGAUACACAGAUAAUGAUAAUGUGCAGACACAGUCUGUGCUAGUGAUGAUACACAGAUAAUGAUAAUGUACAUUUACAGGCUGUGCUCGUGAUGAUACACAGAUAAUGAUAAUGUACAGGUACAGGCUGUGCAAGUGAUGAUGCACAGAUAAUGAUAAUAUGCAGGUACAGGCUGUGCAAGUGAUGAUACACAGAUAAUGAUAAUGUACAG